Molecule: ribosomal RNA, 165 nt
Filed under: Dethiosulfatibacter sp. NP8
Lineage: Bacteria; Bacillati; Bacillota; Tissierellia
Description: partial 16S ribosomal RNA
Rfam family: Bacterial small subunit ribosomal RNA
Source: RNAcentral
CGGGAGGCAGCAGUGGGGAAUAUUGCACAAUGGGGGAAACCCUGAUGCAGCGACGCCGCGUGAGCGAAGAAGGUUUUCGGAUCGUAAAGCUCUGUCCUUGGAGAAGAUGAUGACGGUAUCCAAGGAGGAAGCCCCGGCUAACUACGUGCCAGCAGCCGCGGUAAA